RNAcentral lists this ribosomal RNA (497 nucleotides) under uncultured bacterium. RNAcentral's name for it is "partial 16S ribosomal RNA". It matches the Rfam family "Bacterial small subunit ribosomal RNA", at positions 28 to 507 of the family's 1533-position model. The record is from RNAcentral.
GAUGAACGCUGGCGGCGUGCCUAAUACAUGCCAGUCGAGCGAACAGACGAGGAGCUUGCUCCUCUGACGUUAGCGGCGGACGGGUGAGUAACACGUGGAUAACCUACCUAUAAGACUGGGAUAACUUCGGGAAACCGGAGCUAAUACCGGAUAAUAUAUUGAACCGCAUGGUUCAAUAGUGAAAGACGGUUUUGCUGUCACUUAUAGAUGGAUCCGCGCCGCAUUAGCUAGUUGGUAAGGUAACGGCUUACCAAGGCAACGAUGCGUAGCCGACCUGAGAGGGUGAUCGGCCACACUGGAGCUGAGACACGGUCCAGACUCCUACGGGAGGCAGCAGUAGGGAAUCUUCCGCAAUGGGCGAAAGCUUGACGGAGCAACGCCGCGUGAGUGAUGAAGGUCUUCGGAUCGUAAAACUCUGUUAUUAGGGAAGAACAAAUGUGUAAGUAACUAUGCACGUCUUGACGGUACCUAAUCAGAAAGCCACGGCUAACUACGUG